Molecule: long non-coding RNA, 954 nt
Organism: Nematostella vectensis (starlet sea anemone)
Lineage: Eukaryota; Metazoa; Cnidaria; Anthozoa; Actiniaria; Edwardsiidae
Exons: 2
Source: RefSeq, a predicted model, not a curated record
GUCAGCAGGAAUAGGAUUGGAGCUACCAGGAAUGGGAUUGAAGCCACCAGGAUAGGAUUGAAGCCACCAGGAUAGGAUUGAAGCUACCAGGAAUGGGAUUGGGAAUGGAACAUGAUAUGGAGUAAACAGGGACAUGAAAAGCCUGAAUUUCAAUCCCUCUUUAGGAACAUAAUCCUGACAGUUUCUGAAGAUAUCCAAUAAAUAUUCAAGAAACAAACUAUCUGGUUGAACAUGGCAAAGAAAUGCUUGCCUGCACAUUGAUCAUAUUUAUGAGUUGGUUGUAUACACUGUUUGAUGGAAGAAAAUAUUUUUGUGGUUGAAGUUCAUCAAUCAUGUUCAUCAACCAUGUCCAUCUGUUUAACCUGAGCCAACUGCAUAAAGUCAGCAGAAACAAAGCCAACAGAAACAUAAAAAGUACUUAUUUACCCAUGAAAGUAAACUAAUGCACUGAAUUAUGGAAAGACAACUAAUGUACAGUACUCUGUAAAAAGUAAGAGCUUUAUGAGAAAGAUGUCUCACUCAGUUAAGGUAAAGGUUAUGAGACUUGUAAUAAACAGCGGAUCAAAUUUCAGCAUUAUUGAAAGGUUAAAGAAAUAAACAGACAGUAAAAAUCUAUGCUUAUUUUUCCUGAGUAAAUAGUAUGAUAAUGGAUCGUCAAUCUGCUGAGAAAACAGAUCUGACAGGAAUAUAUCAGCAUCAGCGACUUAUUGCAUGCCAAAUCGUAAUCCUGCUUUUUUAUAUGGCACCACUUUCCCAUAAAAACCUUAGAUAUUCACAAGCGCUGCAAAUCUUUUUGGUGAUAAAAUCAGACGUGUUGAAUAAACUACAUGCAAUAUUUAUAAUCGGGCAAUAAAUAGGCUAAUGGCAAAAGGAAACUACAGCUCAAAAUAAGACCUAGUAGUUUAGAUUAGACGGUGCUUUCCGUGUACAAUGUCGAGAAAGCCAUUCAAGUGU